GACGAACGCUGGCGGCGUGCUUAACACAUGCAAGUCGAACGGAAAGGCCCUGCUUUUGUGGGGUGCUCGAGUGGCGAACGGGUGAGUAACACGUGAGUAACCUGCCCUUGACUUUGGGAUAACUUCAGGAAACUGGGGCUAAUCCCGGAUAGGAGCUCCUGCUGCGUGGUGGGGGUUGGAAAGUUUCGGCGGUUGGGGAUGGACUCGCGGCUUAUCAGCUUGUUGGUGGGGUAGUGGCUUACCAAGGCUUUGACGGGUAGCCGGCCUGAGAGGGUGACCGGCCACACUGGGACUGAGAUACGGCCCAGACUCCUACGGGAGGCAGCAGGGGGGAAUAUUGCACAAUGGGCGGAAGCCUGAUGAAGCAACGCCGCGUGCGGGAUGACGGCCUUCGGGUUGUAAACCGCUUUCGCCUGUGACGAAGCGUGAGUGACGGUAAUGGGUAAAGAAGCACCGGCUAACUACGUG
Molecule: ribosomal RNA, 468 nt
Filed under: uncultured bacterium
Lineage: Bacteria
Description: partial 16S ribosomal RNA
Rfam family: Bacterial small subunit ribosomal RNA
Source: RNAcentral